Molecule: long non-coding RNA, 95 nt
Organism: Melitaea cinxia (Glanville fritillary)
Lineage: Eukaryota; Metazoa; Arthropoda; Insecta; Lepidoptera; Nymphalidae
Exons: 2
Source: RefSeq, a predicted model, not a curated record
GUACUUCAACCGUUUACGUACUCUUAAUUCGAACAUUAGAACUUGCAAUUGUUUUUAUUUUUAAAUUAAACUGUAUGAGACUACAUAAACUAAAA